GAUGAACGCUGGCGUCGUGCCUAAUACAUGCAAGUCGAGCGAACGGACGAGAAGCUUGCUUCUCUGAUUUUAGCGGCGGACGGGGGAGUAAAACGUGGAUAACCUACCUAUAAGACUGGGAUAACUUCGGGAAACCGUAGCUAAUACCGGAUAAUAUUUUGAACCGCAUGGUUCAAAAGUGAAAGACGGUCUUGCUGUCACUUAUAGAUGGAUCCGCGCUGCAUUAGCUAGUUGGUAAGGUAACGGCUUACCAAGGCAACGAUGCAUAGCCGACCUGAGAGGGUGAUCGGCCACACUGGAACUGAGACACGGUCCAGACUCCUACGGGAGGCAGCAGUAGGGAAUCUUCCGCAAUGGGCGAAAGCCUGACGGAGCAACGCCGCGUGAGUGAUGAAGGUCUUCGGAUCGUAAAACUCUGUUAUUAGGGAAGAACAUAUGUGUAAGUAACUGUGCACAUCUUGACGGUACCUAAUCAGAAAGCCACGGCUAACUACGUG
RNAcentral lists this ribosomal RNA (497 nucleotides) under uncultured bacterium. Its description in RNAcentral is "partial 16S ribosomal RNA". It matches the Rfam family "Bacterial small subunit ribosomal RNA", at positions 28 to 507 of the family's 1533-position model. The record is from RNAcentral.